This 658-nucleotide long non-coding RNA is filed under the name Homo sapiens (human). RNAcentral's name for it is "TMC3 antisense RNA 1". The record is from RNAcentral. Lineage: Eukaryota; Metazoa; Chordata; Mammalia; Primates; Hominidae.
GUGUUGCUGACAAGAGAGGAGCAGGCUGAGAGAAAACGCCCUGUUUGUCACAAAGUUACAUCUGCGAGCUCCUUCAAGGAAGGGAGUGCCCCUGGAGAGUGGAGAGGGUGGUUCUCUUGGCUGUCUCUGGAACAAAUUUGGGUAAGUGCUCAAAGAUGUGUUACUACAGAAUGUACUUGUGAAGUUCUUGUUGCAGUGCAGUCAGAUAAGCAAAGAUAUCUGCUAGAAAAUAAAGAAAAAGCUACACAAUUUUAGACUUUGUAGUUCAUUGUCUUUUAAGACAGCAAGUCCUGCUAUUGUCUGUCAUAAAGCUACAGAAAAAGACCAUAUUGAAAACUGACGAUAGCAGUUGAUUAUUUGUGAAAAGCCUGAGAGAUGAUUCAGUAAAUACAAGGUGAAUUUCAUUGCAUCUUCAUGCAAUCAGAGACUUGCAUACACUUUUUAUCCCCUAAACAGAUGAACGAAUGGCAUGGGCCAGCUAGCAGGGAGUUGGCAGGAUAAAGUUCUAACCAACAAUUGCCACUUGCCUUCCUUUCUUCCAUCAGCUUCUAGCUUACCUUUCAGAGACAGGUUCUAUCAAAGGAAACCUAAAGGGAACCUUCCUCCCUGGCCCUGCCCCAUCUAGCGUCCACAAGGAUACUACACUCCAGUGAAGACU